Molecule: ribosomal RNA, 2840 nt
Filed under: fermentation metagenome
Description: bacterial LSU rRNA
Rfam family: Bacterial large subunit ribosomal RNA
Source: RNAcentral
CGAGCGUGCGGUGGAUGCCUUGGCGCAGAUGGCCGAAGAAGGGCGUGGCCAACCACGAAACGCGUCGGUGAGGUGUUAGCAACCUAACCCGGCGAUACCCGAAUGGGGAAACCCGGCACCCGUAUAGGGGUGUCAUCUCUAUAUGAGAAGGCUAAGCGGGCGAACUGAAACAUCUUAGUAGCUCGCGAGAAGAAAUCAACCGAGAUUCCCUGAGUAGUGGCGAGCGAAAGGGGAAGAGCCUAAACCACCUAGAUGUCAAGGCUGUGGCCGUUGUCUAGGAGGUGUUGUGGGGCUGCCAGGAGGAGACCACAGAUCCUCGCGUUUAAUGCAUGCUAGCCGAAUGGUUCAGGAAAGACCAACCAAAGAGGGUAAUGGUCCCGUAGGCGAAAGCAUCGCAAGCGGCGUGUGGCAGUACCCGAGUAAGGCGGAGCCCUGAGAUUCCGUCUGAAUCUGGGUGGACCACCAUCCAAGGCUAAACACCAUCUGCGACCGAUAGUGUACCAGUACCGUGAGGGAAAGGUGAAAAGAACCGGGAGAGCCGGAGUGAAAUAGAUCUGAAACCGUACGCUUACAAUCAGUCAGAGCCCGUCUAAUCGGGUGAUGGCGUACCUUUUGUAGAAUGGACCGGCGAGUUAUUUUCAGCAGCGAUAGGUUAAGACGGUGAACGUCGAAGCCGCAGGGAAACCGAGUCUCAACAGGGCGACUAGUUGCUGGAGAUAGACCCGAAACUGGGUGAGCUACCCAUGGCCAGGGUGAAGCGUGUGUAACAACUCGUGGAGGCCCGAACCAGGGACGGUUGAAAACGUCUUGGAUGAGCUGUGGGUAGAGGUGAAACGCCAAUCGAACCCAGAUAUAGCUGGUUCUCCCCGAAAUAUAUUUAGGUAUAGCCUUGCGUGAUCCCCAUCGGAGGUAGAGCACUGAAAGGACUAGGGGCCUUACCCGGUUACCAAACCCUAUCAAACUCCGAAUGCCGAUGGGCAAAGCGCAGGAGUCAGUCCGCGGGGGAUAAGCUUCGCGGGCAAGAGGGAAACACCCCAGACCAUCGUCUAAGGCCCCUAAAUUCUAGCUUAGUGGGAAAGGAUGUGGAGAGGUUCAGACAACCAGGAGGUUGGCUUAGAAGCAGCCACCCUUUAAAGAGUGCGUAAUAGCUCACUGGUCGAGUCUUUCUGCGCCGAAAAUGUAACGGGGCUCAAGCUAGAUGCCGAAGCCGUGGAUCAAUGCAAAUUGGUGGUAGGGGAGCGUCGCGCGUUAGGUAGAAGGAUGACCGUGAGGGCGUCUGGACGAAGCGCGAGUGAGAAUGCCGGUAUGAGUAGCGAAAAAGAGCGUGAGAAUCGUUCUGGCCGAAAACCCAAGGUUUCUUAAGCAAGGCUCGUCCUCUUAAGUUUAGGCGGUCCUAAGGCGAGGCCGAGAGGCGUAGUCGAUGGACAGCAGGUUGAUAUUCCUGCCCCACGUUUUGGAGCGAUGCAGGGACGCGGUGAACAAGAUCAGCGGACUGCUGGAUGUUCGUGAGCGGGCGUAGGUGUGCCGUAGGUAAAUCCGCGGCAGGAAACCGAGACCCGGGACGCAAGAAGCCGCAAGGCGACUGAAGUGAUUGGAUGCACCGACAAGAAAAGCUGCUAAGCGAUGAAGAAACGUGACCGUACCGAUAACCGACACAGGUGGGUAGGCUGAGUAUGCUAAGGCCAGCGUGAUAACCCUCGCUAAGGAACUCGGCAAAUUAGCUCCGUAACUUCGGGAUAAGGAGCGCCCUCAGUAGGCUGACCACUUCGCGUGGAAGGUUGAAAGGGGUCGCAGUGAAAUGGCCCGGGCGACUGUUUAUCAAAAACAUAGGUCCCUGCUAAACCGUAAGGUGAUGUAUAGGGGCUGACGCCUGCCCAAUGCUAGUAGGUUAAGGGGAGGUGUGCAAGCACCGAUCCGAAGCCCUAGUGAAUGGCGGCCGUAACUAUAACGGUCCUAAGGUAGCGAAAUUCCUUGUCGGGUAAGUUCCGACCUGCACGAAUGGCGUAACGAUCUGGGCACUGUCUCGGCGAGGGACACGGCGAAAUUGUAGUCUGCGUGAAGAUGCGCAGUACUUGCAGCAGGACGGAAAGACCCCGUGGAACUUUACUAUACCCUGAUAUUGGUCUUCGGGGCCGCAUGUAGAGUAUAGGUGGGAGGCAUUGAAGCAGUGUCGUCAGGGGCUGUGGAGCCAACGUUGGAAUACCACCCUUGCGGUCGCUGAGGGUCUAACUCGGAUUAACAGAUCCGGGGACAUUGUCAGGCGGGUAGUUUGACUGGGGCGGUCGCCUCCUAAACCGUAACGGAGGCGCACAAAGGUUCCCUCAGCGCGGUCGGAAAUCGCGCAGAGAGUGCAAGAGCAGAAGGGAGCUUAACUGCGAGACCAACAAGUCGAGCAGAUGCGAAAGCAGGUUCUAGUGACCCGCCGGCUCAGAGUGGAAUGGCCGACGAUCAACGGAUAAAAGUUACCCCGGGGAUAACAGGCUUAUAGCGGCCACGCGCCCAUAGCUACGCCGCUGUUUGGCACCUCGAUGUCGGCUCGUCGCAUCCUGGGGCUGGAGUAGGUCCCAAGGGUUUGGCUGUUCGCCAAUUAAAGCGGCACGCGAGCUGGGUUCAGAACGUCGUGAGACAGUUCGGUCCCUAUCCAUCGUGGGCGCAGGAGAUUUGAGAGGAGCUGUCCUUAGUACGAGAGGACCGGGAUGGACGCACCAAGGGUGAAUCAGUUGUCGUGCCAACGGCAUAGCUGGGUAGCCAAGUGCGGAGCGGAUAAACGCUGAAGGCAUCUAAGCGUGAAGCCGACCUCAAGAUAAGAUCUCCCAUCCGAAAGGAGUAAGACCCCUUGA